This 1293-nucleotide long non-coding RNA is filed under the name Serinus canaria (Common canary). RNAcentral's name for it is "lncRNA (ENSSCAG00000001899.1)". The record is from RNAcentral. Lineage: Eukaryota; Metazoa; Chordata; Aves; Passeriformes; Fringillidae.
CGGCCUCAUCCUCGUCUUCAUCACCUUCAUCAUCGUCAUCACCUUCAUCAUCUUCUUCUGCAUCCUCAUCUUCAUCUUCAUCUUCAUCGUCUUCUGCAUCCUCAUCUUCGUCUUCAUCCUCAUCUUCAUCCUCAUAAUCUUCAUCUUCACCUUCAUCUUCAUCAUCUUCAUCAUCUUUUGCAUCCCUCAUCUUCGUCAUCUUCAUCAUCUUCUUCUUCAUCAUCCUCGUUUUCAUCUUCAUCCUCUGUCUUCAUCAUCUUCAUCAUCUUCACCUUCACGUUCUUCUGCAUCCUCAUCUUCAUCUUCAUCAUCUUCGUCGUCCUCAUCUUCAUCUUCAUCAUCUUCGUCUGCAUCCUCAUCUUCAUCUUCAUCAUCUUCAUCAUCUUCUGCAUCCUCAUCUUCAUCUUCGUUUUCAUCAUCUUCAUCGUUCUCAUCUUCAUCUUCGUCUUCAUCAUCAUCACCUUCAUCAUCUUCUUCUGCCUCCUCACCUUCAUCAUCUUCAUCCUCAUCUUCCUCAUCUUCAUCCUUAUUUUCGUCCUCAUCAUCUUCACCUUCAUCUUCAUCCUCAUCUUCGUCUUCAUCUUUUUCAUCUUCUUCUUCAUCAUCCUCAUCUUCAUCCUCUGUCUUCAUCAUCUUCAUCAUCUUCAUCCUCAUAAUCUUCUUCAUCAUCUUCAUCUUCAUCGUCUUCAUCAUCCUCAUCUUCAUCCUCUUCCUCAUCUUCAUCCUUAUCUUCAUCCUCAUCAUCUUUAUCUCAUCUUCAUCUUCAUCGUCUUCAUCUUCAUCAUCAUCACCUUCAUCUUUAUCUUAAUCAUCUUAGUCUUCAUCUUGGUCUUCAUCAUCUUCUUCUUCAUCCUCAUCAUCCUCAUCUUCAUCCUGAUCUUCAUCUUCUUCAUCCUCAUCCUCAACACCUUCAUCAUCUUCGUCUUCAUCUUCACCUUCAUCUUCGUUCUCAUCUUCGUCUUCAUCACCUUCAUCUUCAGCUUGGUGUUCAUCCUCAUCGUCAUCUUCAUCAUCUUCAUCCUCAUCUUCAUCCUCGUCUUCAUCUUCUUCAUCUUCAUCUUCAUCCUCAUCACUUUUCAUCAUCUUUGUCUUCACCUUCAUCUUCAUCUUGGUGUUCAUCCUCAUCCUCAUCUUCAUCUUCAUCAUCUUCAUCCUCAUCAUCUUCAUCUUCAUCAUCCUCGUCUUCAUCCUCAUCCUCAUCUUUGGGGUGUGUCUCACCUGUCCAGGUGUGGUUUGGGGGGUUUGUGGGGCUGUGUCUCACCUGUCCAGGUGUGGUUUGGGUGUGUCUCACCU